This 64-nucleotide transfer RNA is filed under the name Mylabris sp. MYL01. RNAcentral's name for it is "tRNA-Thr". It matches the Rfam family "tRNA". From Rfam's summary of the family: Transfer RNA (tRNA) molecules are approximately 80 nucleotides in length. Their secondary structure includes four short double-helical elements and three loops (D, anti-codon, and T loops). Further hydrogen bonds mediate the characteristic L-shaped molecular structure. tRNAs have two regions of fundamental functional importance: the anti-codon, which is responsible for specific mRNA codon recognition, and the 3' end, to which the tRNAs corresponding amino acid is attached (by aminoacyl-tRNA synthetases). tRNAs cope with the degeneracy of the genetic code in two manners: having more than one tRNA (with a specific anti-codon) for a particular amino acid; and 'wobble' base-pairing, i.e. permitting non-standard base-pairing at the 3rd anti-codon position. The record is from RNAcentral. Lineage: Eukaryota; Metazoa; Arthropoda; Insecta; Coleoptera; Meloidae.
GCUUUUAUAAUUUAAUUAAAAUAUUGGUCUUGUAAAUCAAAUAUAAGUGUUACCUUUAAAAGCU